Myotis lucifugus (little brown bat) is the source of this 103-nucleotide small nuclear RNA. NCBI's taxonomy places the organism in Eukaryota, Metazoa, Chordata, Mammalia, Chiroptera, Vespertilionidae. The record is from Ensembl.
GUACUUGUUUCAACAGCAUAUAUACUAAAAUUAGAACAAUACAAAGAUUUCAAUGGCCCCUCUACAUGGAUGACAUGCAGAUAGUUAAGCAUUCCAUAUUUCU